GUGGGUGGACGCCGGCCCAACCAGCCAAGCGGGGCUUGAGGGUGUUGCAAUGACGCUCGGACAGGCAUGCCCCCCGGGAAGCCGGGGGGCGCAAUGUGCGUUCAAAGAUUCGAUGACUCACGGAAUUCUGCAAUUCGCAUUACUUAUCGCAUUUCGCUGC
This 160-nucleotide ribosomal RNA is filed under the name Elaphomyces sp. HB1. RNAcentral describes it as "5.8S rRNA". The record is from RNAcentral. Lineage: Eukaryota; Fungi; Ascomycota; Eurotiomycetes; Eurotiales; Elaphomycetaceae.